Molecule: small nuclear RNA, 190 nt
Filed under: Oncorhynchus mykiss (rainbow trout)
Lineage: Eukaryota; Metazoa; Chordata; Actinopteri; Salmoniformes; Salmonidae
Description: U2 spliceosomal RNA (ENSOMYG00000061935.1)
Rfam family: U2 spliceosomal RNA
About the family: U2 is a small nuclear RNA (snRNA) component of the spliceosome (involved in pre-mRNA splicing). Complementary binding between U2 snRNA (in an area lying towards the 5' end but 3' to hairpin I) and the branchpoint sequence (BPS) of the intron results the bulging out of an unpaired adenosine, on the BPS, which initiates a nucleophilic attack at the intronic 5' splice site, thus starting the first of two transesterification reactions that mediate splicing.
Source: RNAcentral
AUCGCUUCUCGGCCUUUUGGCUCAGAUCAAGUGUAGUAUCUGUUCUUAUCAGUUUAAAUCUGAUACGUCCCCCAUCGGGGGACUACAUAUUAAAUGGAUUUUUCGAACAGGGAGUCGGAAAUGGGGCUUGCUCCGUCCGCUCCACGCAUCGACCCGGUAUUGCAGUACCUCCGGGAACGGUGCAACACUU